AACGCUGGCGGCGUGCUUAACACAUGCAAGUCGAACGAGGGAAUUGAAAGCUUGCUUUGAAACCCGAGUGGCAAACGGGUGAGUAACGCGUAGACAACCUGCCUUGAGAUGGGGACAACAGUCCGAAAGGACUGCUAAUACCGAAUGUUGUGGAACUUCCGCAUGGAAGCUUCACCAAAGAUGACCUCUUCCUGAAAGUUAUCGCUCAAAGAUGGGUCUGCGUCUGAUUAGCUAGUUGGUGGGGCAACGGCCUACCAAGGCGACGAUCAGUAGCCGGUCUGAGAGGAUGAACGGCCACAUUGGGACUGAGACACGGCCCAGACUCCUACGGGAGGCAGCAGUGGGGAAUCUUCCGCAAUGGACGAAAGUCUGACGGAGCAACGCCGCGUGAACGAUGACGGCCUUCGGGUUGUAAAGUUCUGUUAUACGGGACGAAUGGCGUAGCGGUCAAUACCCGUUACGAGUGACGGUACCGUAAGAGAAAGCCACGGCUAACUACGUG
Molecule: ribosomal RNA, 502 nt
Filed under: uncultured bacterium
Lineage: Bacteria
Description: bacterial SSU rRNA
Rfam family: Bacterial small subunit ribosomal RNA
Source: RNAcentral